RNAcentral lists this ribosomal RNA (273 nucleotides) under uncultured bacterium. Its description in RNAcentral is "partial 16S ribosomal RNA". It matches the Rfam family "Bacterial small subunit ribosomal RNA", at positions 524 to 797 of the family's 1533-position model. The record is from RNAcentral.
CACGUAGGGCGCAAGCGUUGUCCGGAAUUAUUGGGCGUAAAGAGCUCGUAGGCGGUCUGUUGCGUCCGCUGUGAAAACUCGGGGCUUAACCCCGAGCCUGCAGUGGAUACGGGCAGACUAGAGGUAGGUAGGGGAGAAUGGAAUUCCCGGUGUAGCGGUGAAAUGCGCAGAUAUCAGGAGGAACACCGAUGGCGAAGGCAGUCGUCUGGGCCAUAACUGACGCUGAGGAGCGAAAGCAUGGGGAGCGAACAGGAUUAGAACCUACGUAGUCAG